RNAcentral lists this long non-coding RNA (13044 nucleotides) under Cucumis sativus (cucumber). RNAcentral's name for it is "long non-coding RNA (CSAT_LNC001847)". Lineage: Eukaryota; Viridiplantae; Streptophyta; Magnoliopsida; Cucurbitales; Cucurbitaceae. The record is from RNAcentral.
UAAUCUCAACAAAAGAAAAAAAAGAAAGUUUCCAAUCUCAUUUUAUCUUCAUUACUUUCUACACCAAAAUUGGGUCCCACAACCCGGUUCUUUGUCUAGAGGAUAGCAGUUGAGUACUAGUGGUGGUCUCGGGUAGAAUUGGUAAGAAGACAUCAAACCUUUUGAAAGCUUCAAAGGUAAUACUUCUUAAAACCCUAAUUUGAUUAGUUUAUGGUUAGAUGUUAAUUGUGGCAAUUAGGGUAGAAAUUCGAUUCUUUUUCCGCUGUGCAUGACUUAGUUCUAUCAUGUGGUAUCAGAGCAUGCUUCAUUUUUACCCAAUUGCAUGUGGUGGGUUCAUAUUUAUUAGAUAAAUUUUGGUUUGAACUAAAAUGGAUAUAUUAUGAUUUUGGCUCUAGAUUAAGUGUUUUUGUUCUAAUUAUUGUAAUUAGCCUUGUUAAUGGCUUAUUUUUAUUGUUGCAAAGUGUUUGUAAUUUUUAAAAAAAAUAAAAAAAGUCAUUAGAGUUGAAGCUAGGCUGUAAUUGGUUCAACCGGGUGAGAGAAUUGAAAAAAAAUGAAGAAAAGAAGGUCACAGACCCGAAAACCCGGUUUUGACCCGCUUCGCGACCCGCACGCGCCCUCCUGCGCCCGCGCGCCCUCCUGCGCCGCGCGGCGCCGCCGCACGCCCUCCUGCGCCCGCGCGCCCUCCUGCGCCCGCGCGCCUGCAUGCGCCCGUGCGCCCGCCUGUGCCCACGCGCCGCCAUGCGCCUGCGCGCCUGCCUUCGCACGACCCGUGUGCGCCUGGGCCGGUUCAAGCCAAUAAAUUUGGUUUUUGGGCCGGUUCAAGCGGUUUCGGUUGGUUUUUUAGCCGGUUCGAAGUUUUUGGGAGUGGUUCUGUACUACACCAAAUUAAUUAUGUAAUAAUUUAGCACUUAGCUUAAUUUAGGAGCCAAAAAUCAGUCCAUUUUAGGGUGUUUUUUUUUUAUUUAUGCAUGUGAUGUAUGAUUAAAUUACUUUAAAUUUGUAUGUGCAUUUUGAAUGUCAUAUAGAUUUAAAAUCCCACCAUAGGUUAACAUGUUCAUGCAUUAAAAUGUAUGAUAUAAAGGUUAUAUUGUAUUGUAUGCAUGUUAAUUGAUUAAUAUGGAAAUUAAUUAAUAUGAUUAAUUAAUUAUUUAAUUAAUUAAGUUAUUCUUGAUUAAAUAUGAUUUAAUCAAAUUAAUUAAUUAUUGUUUGAUUUAAUUUAAUUAAAUAUGAUUUAAUUAAAUUAAAAAUUAAAUAUGAUUUAAUUAAAGUUAAAUAAAUUAAAAUCCAUAUUAAUUGGAUUGUUUUUAUAAGGUUAUAUAUUGAUAAAAUGAUUGAUUAAGUUUAAAAGUUUUUAUAAGUGUUAUAAAAUAAAUUAGACUUUUAAAAUCAAUAACAAAGAUUAAAUGCAUGCUCACUUAGGUUAAACAUAUCUUCCAUUUUUCAUAGAAAUAGGUCGAUAUCUUGUAAAACUGGUUACAAAAGGCUCACCUGGUUCAAUCUUGUCAACAAGUCAGAUAAGAUGACUAAGGUUGGAGGUUCUUAAGUUGACGGUUUACGGAACACCUCCUACCUGGAGAUCGUAAUCAGUUCUUGAGCCUAGUUAACCUAGUUUUAUGAGCAUUCGUGAGAGGUGUGAGGUAAUAAAAAUGGUUUUUCACCUAGACAUCAUAGGUUAAAAUCCUGUAUAAUGGUUAUACUUGGAUGUUUUAUCUAGACUUAAGAUUUGUUUAAGUUAGCCUAAAUAUAAAUCUUGAAGUUUGGAUUACCCUAUUUUUUUCUUUUAGAACACUUCAACUAGAGAAAAAUAAUGUAUUUUAGCUCUAGUGUCCCUAAGAGUUCACACCGUGAGGUCCAUGCAGGGCUUUGUGCCGUGCAUAGGAGCGGCCUCCCUUCGGAGAGUGUUUGCAUGGAUCAAAAUCAAGGUGAAUAGGGGAAGUAGUUCAUAGUAAGUGGGUGAGGGAUUUGUGGCAGCACAUCCCACGGUCUCUUCCAUUAGGUCGCACCGUGAGAUUUCUAUAAUAUGCCUGCUUGUCUGCCCUGGAGCGACGUUCCCUUCGGAGGGUUGUAUUAUAGGAUUCGGAACACCGCGAACUCCAAAACUGGAUAGGAUUUCUUAGAUUAGUUUUCAUAAAUGAUUCUAAUCUAUAAAAUCUGAAAAUGGUGGGUAACACUUACAAGAAUUACUAAGUUGUUAGUAUAUUCUUGACUAAAGUAGCGAUAACUAAGUGCUAUAAAGAAUAAAGAGUUAUUCUUGAGAUAGCAUCUAGUCAAGAUUGUCUUGGUUCAAAGGAGGAAUAAUCAACUACCCUUCGGAGAAGGUUGUUCUAAACCUUUGAAAUAUUGUUGCAAAAUACAAAUAAUGAAAGGGUACAUUAUUAGUAAUUGCUAAAUUAGAUUGGAUAUUUUUUAUGAUUAUAGUUUUUUCCUAAAAAGAAUAUGUUUGUUUUUCAGCAUGAAUAGCUCAAUAGUUCAACUUUUAGCUUCCGAAAAACUUAAUGGCGAUAAUUAUGCGGCUUGGAAAUCAAAUCUUAACACAAUACUAGUGGUUGACGAUUUAAGAUUUGUCUUAACUGAGGAAUGUCCUCAAAACCCUGCCUCUAAUGCUAACCGAACUAGUCGGGAUGCAUAUGAUCGAUGGAUAAAAGCUAAUGAAAAAGCCCGUGUCUACAUUCUUGCCAGCAUGUCUGAUGUAUUGGCAAAGAAACAUGAAUCCUUAGCCACGGCUAAAGAGAUUAUGGAUUCAUUAAGGGGAAUGUUUGGGCAACCAGAAUGGUCCUUAAGACACGAGGCAGUCAAAUACAUUUACACUAAGCGUAUGAAGGAAGGGACCUCUGUUAGAGAACAUGUUCUGGACAUGAUGAUGCACUUCAACAUCGCUGAAGUGAAUGGUGGUCCCAUCGAAGAGGUUAAUCAAGUUAGUUUUAUCUUAGAGUCUCUUCCGAAGAGCUUCAUUCCAUUCCAAACGAAUGCGUCUUUGAACAAGAUAGAAUUUAACUUGACAACCCUUCUGAAUGAACUCCAGCGAUUCCAAAACCUAACUAUGGGUAAAGGAAAACAAGUGGAAGCAAAUGUUGCUACCACAAAAAGAAAAUUUAUAAGAGGAUCGUCCUCUAAAACCAAAGCUGGACCCUCAAAACCUAAUGCUCAAAUAAAAAAGAAGGGAAAGGGAAAGACUCCCAAACAGAACAAGGGUAAGAAAGGUGCAGAAAAAGGUAAGUGUUACCAUUGUGGCCAAAACGGGCACUGGUUAAGAAACUGCCCAAAAUACCUUGCAGAAAAAAAGGCAGAGAAGGAAACACAAGGUAAAUAUGAUUUACUAGUUGUAGAAACAUGUUUAGUGGAAUAUGAAAAUUGUACCUGGAUACUAGAUUCAGGAGCCACUAAACCAUAUUUGCUUCUCAUUUCAGGAAAAUAGUUCUUGGAAAAAGCUUUCAGAAGGCGAGAUCACUCUCAAGGUUGGAACAUGAGAGAGAUGGUCUCAACUUCAGCAGUGGGAGAUUUAAAGUUGUUUUUUAGAGAUAGAUAUGUCAUACUUAAGAAUGUCUUAUAUGUACCUCAAAUGAAAAGAAAUUUAAUAUCUAUCUCUUGUAUUUUGGAACAAAUGUAUAGAAUAUCUUUUGAAAUUAAUGAAGCGUUCGUUUUCUAUAAAGGUAUUCUAGUUUGUUCUGCUAUACUUGAAGACAACUUAUAUAAGUUAAGACCAACCAGAGCAAAUUUUGUCUUAAAUACUGAAAUUAUUCAGAACAGCUGAAACUCAGAAUAAAAGACAAAAAGUUUCUUCUAAUGCCUAUUUAUGGCACUUAAGACUUGGUCACAUAAAUCUCAAUAGGAUUGGGAGAUUAGUUAAAAGUGGGCUUCUAAGUCCGUUAGAAGAUAACUCUUUACCUCCUUGUGAAUCUUGUCUUGAAGGAAAAAUGACCAAGAGAUCUUUUACUGGAAAAGGUCUAAGAGCCAAAGGACCCUUAGAGCUCGUACAUUCGGACCUUUUGUGGACCAAUGAAUGUCAAAACUCGAGGUGGAUAUGAAUAUUUCAUUAGCUUCAUUGAUGAUUAUUCAAGGUAUGGUCAUAUUUACCUAAUACAUCAUAAGUCUAAUAGUCUUGAAAAGUUCAAAGAAUAUAAGGCUGAAGUAGAAAACGAAUUAGGUAAAACAAUAAAAAUACUUCGAUCAGAUCGAGGUGGAGAGUAUAUGGACUUACGAUUCCGAGACUAUUUAAUAGAAAAUGGAAUCCAGUCACAACUCUCUGCACCUAGUACACCUCAACAGAACGGUGUAUCAGAAAGAAGAAACCGGACCUUGUUAGACAUGGUUCGCUCUAUGAUGAGUUUUUCUCAGAUGUCAGAUUCUUUUUUGGGGAUAUGCUUUAGAAACAGCUGCUUAUAUUUUGAAUAAUGUUCCCUCUAAAAGUGUUUCAGAAACACCUUAUGAGCUAUGGAAAGGGCGUAAAGGCAGUUUACGUCAUUUUAGAAUUUGGGGUUGUCCAGCACACGUGUUGGUACAAAAUCCAAAGAAAUUGGAACAUCGUUCAAAAUUAUGCUUUUUAUAGGUUAUCCAAAAGAAUCAAGAGGUGGUUUGUUUUAUGAUCCUCAAGAAAAUAAAAUAUUUGUGUCAACAAAUGCCACAUUCUUAGAGGAAGACCACAUCAGGGAUCAUCAACCUCGUAGUAAACUAGUAUUAAAAGAAAUUUCCAAAAGUGCUAUAGAUAAACCUAGUUCAUCCACUAAGGUAGUUGAUAAGACUAGGAAAUCUGGUCAAUCACAUCCUUCUCAACAGUUGAGAGAGCCUCGACGUAGUGGGAGGGUUGUUCAUCAGCCUGAUCGCUAUUUGGGUUUAAUUGAAACUCAAGUCGUCAUACCUGACGAUGGCAUAGAGGAUCCAUUAACCUAUAAACAGGCAAUGAAAGAUGUAGAUCGUGAUGAAAAGGAUCAAAGCCAUGGAAGCCAUGGACUCGAAAUGGAGUCUAUGUACUUUAAUUCUGUCUAGACUCUAGUAGAUCAACCAAAUGACGUAAAACCUAUUGGUUGUAAAUGGAUCUACAAGAGAAAACGAGACCAUGCCGGUAAAGUACAGACUUUUAAGGCUCGACUUGUGGCAAAGGGUUAUACCCUAGAGAGAGGGAGUAGACUAUGAGGAAACUUUCUCUCCUGUUGCCAUGUUAAAGUCAAUUAGAAUACUCUUAUCCAUCGCCACUUUUUAUGAUUAUGAAAUUUGGCAGAUGGAUGUCAAGACAGCUUUUUUGAACGGUAAUCUUGAAGAGAGCAUCUAUAUGUCUCAACCAGAGGGGUUUAUAAAACAAGAUCAAGAACAAAAGGUUUGUAAGCUUAAAAAAAUCCAUUUAUGGAUUAAAACAAGCUUCUAGAUCCUGGAAUAUAAGAUUUGAUAUUGCGAUCAAAAUCUUAUGGCUUUGAACAAAAUGUUGACGAGCCUUGUGUUUACAAAAGGUCGUCAAUUCCAUUAUAGCAUUUUUAGUCUUAUAUGUAGAUGAUAUUCUACUUAUUGGAAAUGACGUAGGAUAUCUUACUGAUAUCAAGAAAUGGCUAGCUAUGCAAUUUCAAAUGAAAGAUCUGGGAGAUGCACAAUACGUUCUCGGAAUCCAAAUUGUUCGAAACCGUAAGAACAAAACACUAGCCAUGUCUCAAGCAUCUUACAUAGACAAAAAUGUUGUCUAGAUAUAAAAUGCAGAAUUCCAAAAAGGGUCUGCUGCCGUACAGAUAUGGAAUUCAUUUGUCAAAGGAACAAUGUCCUAAGACACCUCAAGAAGUUGAGGAUAUGAGAAAUAUUCCCUAUGCUUCCGCUGUUGGAAGUUUAAUGUAUGCAAUGUUAUGUACUAGACCUGACAUUUGCUACUCAGUAGGGAUGGUCAGUAGGUAUGGUCAGUAGGUAUCAAUCCAAUCAUGGACGUGAUCACUGGACAGCCGUUAAAAACAUUCUACAUGCUCAUGUAUCGUACAAAGGAUAUGAUCCUUACUGGAUACACUGAUUCGGAUUUCCAAACUAAUAAAGAUGUUAGAAAGUCUACAUCAGAAUCAGUAUUUACUCUAAAUGGAGGAGCAGUAGUUUGGAGAAGCAUAAAGCAAACUUGUAUAGCUGAUUCCACAAUGGAAGCUGAUCAUUUUACAAAAGCCCUCACGGCUAAAGUGUUUGAGGGUCACCUACACAGUUUAGGUGUACGAUGUUUGUAAACUAGGACAAGUGGGAGACUUAUUGGCCAUGUGCCCUAGUUUCAUAUAUAUUCUCUCACACCACAUCUCUCAUACCACUAGGAAUUUUAGUCCAAGUGGGAGUUUGUUGGAAUUUUUUGUCCUAAAACUCGUAGUUUGUAAAUCAUAUUCUAUUCAAUAAAGUUGUUAUUGAGAAAUUAAAUAUUAUAAUCUUAAAUCCAAUAAAUCAAAGUUCCAAGGCUAUUUUUUGAAUAAACUUGAACUUUAUGUGUAAACAUAAACGUGGAUCAAGUUCGAGUAUAUAGCCUAAAUAGUCUAUAGUAUAUGAAAUAAAGGUUGGGCGCCUUAUUUUGAGAGACUAUGGAUGCGGCCCACUUUGUAGUACAAACGAUGUGAUCCUAAUCGUUCAUGUAGAGACAUGAAAGUGGGGGCAUCCUAUGUAAAAUGUUUACAUAAGACUGAACCAUGAAUUAGUCAUUUUUACGUUAUAACACCGUUUACUGUUUAAAACUGACUAUCUCAAUUAUUGAUGACCUAGGUAACUUAGUCUUAAUCCUGAGUUAACUAUGAACUCCUGUUCAUACGAGAUUAUCCUUAGAUCUGCAUAGGUGAGGGCAGCUCAUCAGCGUUGGCCCAAUAAGCCUCCCAUUUCAGGGGUAAGAUCGGGUGGAUAGCUGGGAACAUAGGGUACAAGAUGGAAUUCACUCCUACCCGCUUUAGGGUUAGUAGAUAGGUUGCUCUCUUAAGCACUGAAUCCAAGUCUUGAACAAGGGGCCCCACCCUCUCAUUGGCCCGAGAGGGAUUAAGUUUAUAGGUUGAACCUUAAACCAAUUGUUCAAUAGUGGAUUAGUGGGACUUAAGGAGCAAGAUGUAAUCUUGGGGGUAAAACGGUAUUUUGACCCAGCCAAGGUUACGAGCAACCUGUGAAGGAUUAACUUACUGAUUAUGGUUUUAUCAAAUGGACACAAAUAUAUCUAUAGUGAGGGGAGUGCAACUACGGGACUUUAGUGGAAUGACCCGUUAGUUAACGAAUGUUGAUUAACUCGGUUUAAAAGAGUUUAGCUAGUUAAUCUUGAAUCGUUGGAGCCCAUGAUCUAUAGGUCCAUUAGGUUCCUCUGCUAGCUCAUAUGGAUUAAACUUAGAACAGUGUGAUGAAAUAAGUCGAAUUGUUCGAAUAGGGAGAAGAAAGGAAAACCGACAUAUACAGUGAUAUAAUCGUCGGUCUUCUAAUUAGAAAUAGAGCUUUAUGUUUUACAUACUAUAAGUAUGAAUGCGGAUUCAUACUAAGAAGCUCGGAAUUGGUCAAAAAUAGUAAAAAGUCAAAAUGUUGACUUUUGACUUUGAAAAGUCAAACUUUGACCGGCCUUAUAUUCAAAUGUGAUUUGAAUUUUGGAAAAAUGAAUGCGGAUUCAUGCUCGGGAGGUUGGAAUUAGUCAAGACGGACAAAAUGGUAAAAAGUCAAAAUAUUGACUUUUGACUUAGAAAAGUCAAAGUUUGACUUUUGACUAGAAAAAAUCUAAUGACCAUUUUACCCUUGGACUAAGUUAGUGGGAAAAUCCAACAUUUUGUUGGAUAAUCCCACUAACUCUUAGUGGGAUAUGUGGCUAUAUGAGAUAUAGACACCUAGCCCACUAAGUUCCACUAAUUGUUAGUGGAAUAUUAGGUGUUGAGAUUUGGCAAUUGAAUUGCAUGCAUUUUUGCAUGUAAUUAGGCUAUAAAUAGAGAUGUUUUCAAAUGUUGAAGGACUUUUGCCUCUUUUAUCAUUUUCAUAAUCUCAACAAAAGAAAAAAGAAAGCUUCCAAUCUCAUUUUAUCUCCAUUACUUUCUACACCAAAAUUGGGUCCCACAACCCGGUUCUUUGUCUAGAGGAUAGCAGUUGAGUACUAGUGGUGGUCUCGGGUAGAAUUGGUAAGAAGACAUCAAACCUUUUGUAAGCUUCAAAGGUAAUACUUCUUAAAACCCUAAUUUGAUUAGUUUAUGGUUACAUGUUAAUUGUGGCAAUUAGGGUAGAAAUUCGAUUCUUUUUCCGCUGUGCAUGACUNNNNNNNNNNGUGGAAUAUGAAAAUUGUACCUGGAUACUAGAUUCAGGAGCCACUAACCAUAUUUGCUUCUCAUUUCAGGAAAAUAGUUCUUGAAAAAGCUUUCAGAAGGCGAGAUCACUCUCAAGGUUGGAACAGGAGAGAUGGUCUCAACUUCAGCAGUGGGAGAUUUAAAGUUGUUUUUUAGAGAUAGAUAUGUCAUACUUAAGAAUGUCUUAUAUGUACCUCAAAUGAAAAGAAAUUUAAUAUCUAUCUCUUGUAUUUUGGAACAAAUGUAUAGAAUAUCUUUUGAAAUUAAUGAAGCGUUCGUUUUCUAUAAAGGUAUUCUAGUUUGUUCUGCUAUACUUGAAGACAACUUAUAUAAGUUAAGACCAACCAGAGCAAAUUUUGUCUUAAAUACUGAAAUAUUCAGAACAGCUGAAACUCAGAAUAAAAGACAAAAAGUUUCUUCUAAUGCCUAUUUAUGGCACUUAAGACUUGGUCACAUAAAUCUCAAUAGGAUUGGGAGAUUAGUUAAAAGUGGGCUUCUAAAUCAGUUAGAAAAUAAUACUUUACUCUCUUGUGAAUCUUGUCUUGAAAAAUGACCAAGAGAUCUUUUACUGGAAAAGGUCUAAGAGCCAAAGACCCUUAGAGCUCGUACAUUCGGACCUUUGUGGACCAAUGAAUGUCAAAGCUCGAGGUGGAUAUGAAUAUUUCAUUAGCUUCAUUGAUGAUUAUUCAAGGUAUGGUCAUAUUUACCUAAUACAUCAUAAGUCUAAUAGUCUUGAAAAGUUCAAAGAAUAUAAGGCUGAAGUAGAAAACGAAUUAGGUAAAACAAUAAAAAUACUUCGAUCAGAUCGAGGUGGAGAGUAUAUGGACUUACGAUUCCGAGACUAUUUAAUAGAAAAUGGAAUCCAGUCACAACUCUCUGCACCUAGUACACCUCAACAGAACGGUGUAUCAGAAAGAAGAAACGGACCUUGUUAGACAUGGUUCGCUCUAUGAUGAGUUUUUCUCAGAUGUCAGAUUCUUUUUGGGGAUAUGCUUUAGAAACAGCUGCUUAUAUUUUGAAUAAUGUUCCCUCUAAAAGUGUUUCAGAAACACCUUAUGAGCUAUGGAAAGGGCGUAAAGGCAGUUUACGUCAUUUUAGAAUUUGGGGUUGUCCAGCACACGUGUUGGUACAAAAUCCAAAGAAAUUGGAACAUCGUUCAAAAUUAUGCUUUUUUAUAGGUUAUCCAAAAGAAUCAAGAGGUGGUUUGUUUUAUGAUCCUCAAGAAAAUAAAAUAUUGUGUCAACAAAUGCCACAUUCUUAGAGGAAGACCACAUCAGGGAUCAUCAACCUCGUAGUAAACUAGUAUUAAAAGAAAUUUCCAAAAGUGCUAUAGAUAAACCUAGUUCAUCCACUAAGGUAGUUGAUAAGACUAGGAAAUCUGGUCAAUCACAUCCUUCUCAACAGUUGAGAGAGCCUCGACGUAGUGGGAGGGUUGUUCAUCAGCCUGAUCGCUAUUUGGGUUUAAUUGAAACUCAAGUCGUCAUACCUGACGAUGGCAUAGAGGAUCCAUUAACCUAUAAACAGGCAAUGAAAGAUGUAGAUCGUGACCAAUGGAUCAAAGCCAUGGACCUCGAAAUGGAGUCUAUGUACUUUAAUUUCUGUCUGGACUCUAUAGUAAAUCAACAAAUGACGUAAAACCUAUUGGUUGUAAAUGGAUCUACAAGAGAAAACGAGACCAUGCCGGUAAAGUACAGACUUUCAAGGCUCGACUUGUGGCAAAGGGUUAUACCUGAGAGAGGGAGUAGACUAUGAGGAAACUUUCUCUCCGUUGCCAUGUUAAAGUCAAUUAGAAUACUCUUAUCCAUCGCCACUUUUUAUGAUUAUGAAAUUUGGCAGAUGGAUGUCAAGACAGCUUUUUUGAAAUAAUCUUGAAGAGAGUAUCUAUAUGUCUCAACCAGAGGGGUUUAUAGAACAAGAUCAAGAACAAAAGGUUUGUAAGCUUAAAAAAUCCAUUUAUGGAUUAAAACAAGCUUCUAGAUCCUGGAAUAUAAGAUUUGAUAUGCGAUCAAAUCUUAUGGCUUUGAACAAAAUGUUGACGAGCCUUGUGUUUACAAAAGGUCGUCAAUUCCAUUAUAGCAUUUUUAGUCUUAUAUGUAGAUGAUAUUCUACUUAUUGGAAAUGACGUAGGAUAUCUUACUGAUAUCAAGAAAUGGCUAGCUAUGCAAUUUCAAAUGAAAGAUCUGGGAGAUGCACAAUACGUUCUCGGAAUCCAAAUUGUUCGAAACCGUAAGAACAAAACACUAGCCAUGUCUCAAGCAUCUUACAUAGACAAAAUGUUGUCUAGAUAUAAAAUGCAGAAUUCCAAAAAGGGUCUGCUGCCGUACAGAUAUGGAAUUCAUUUGUCAAAGGAACAAUGUCCUAAGACACCUCAAGAAGUUGAGGAUAUGAGAAAUAUUCCCUAUGCUUCCGCUGUUGGAAGUUUAAUGUAUGCAAUGUUAUGUACUAGACCUGACAUUUGCUACUCAGUAGGGAUGGUCAGUAGGUAUCAAUCCAAUCAUGGACGUGAUCACUGGACAGCCGUUAAAAACAUUCUACAUGCUCAUGUAUCGUACAAAGGAUAUGAUCCUUACUGGAUACACUGAUUCAGAUUUCCAAACUAAUAAAGAUGUUAGAAAGUCUACAUCAGAAUCAGUAUUUACUCUAAAUGGAGGAGCAGUAGUUUGGAGAAGCAUAAAGCAAACUUGUAUAGCUGAUUCCACAAUGGAAGCUGAUCAUUUUACAAAAGCCCUCAUGCUAAAGUGUUUGAGGGUCACCUACACAGUUUAGGUGUACGAUGUUUGUAAACUAGGACAAGUGGGAGACUUAUUGGCCAUGUGCCCUAGUUUCAUAUAUAUUCUCUCACACCACAUCUCUCAUACCACUAGGAAUUUUAGUCCAAGUGGGAGUUUGUUGGAAUUUUUUGUCCUAAAACUCGUAGUUUGUAAAUCAUAUUCUAUUCAAUAAAGUUGUUAUUGAGAAAUUAAAUAUUAUAAUCUUAAAUCCAAUAAAUCAAAGUUCCAAGGCUAUUUUUUGAAUAAACUUGAACUUUAUGUGUAAACAUAAACGUGGAUCAAGUUCGAGUAUAUAGCCUAAAUAGUCUAUAGUAUAUGAAAUAAAGGUUGGGCGCCUUAUUUUGAGAGACUAUGGAUGCGGCCCACUUUGUAGUACAAACGAUGUGAUCCUAAUCGUUCAUGUAGAGACAUGAAAGUGGGGGCAUCCUAUGUAAAAUGUUUACAUAAGACUGAACCAUGAAUUAGUCAUUUUUACGUUAUAACACCGUUUACUGUUUAAAACUGACUAUCUCAAUUAUUGAUGACCUAGGUAACUUAGUCUUAAUCCUGAGUUAACUAUGAACUCCUGUUCAUACGAGAUUAUCCUUAGAUCUGCAUAGGUGAGGGCAGCUCAUCAGCGUUGGCCCAAUAAGCCUCCCAUUUCAGGGGUAAGAUCGGGUGGAUAGCUGGGAACAUAGGGUACAAGAUGGAAUUCACUCCUACCCGCUUUAGGGUUAGUAGAUAGGUUGCUCUCUUAAGCACUGAAUCCAAGUCUUGAACAAGGGGCCCCACCCUCUCAUUGGCCCGAGAGGGAUUAAGUUUAUAGGUUGAACCUUAAACCAAUUGUUCAAUAGUGGAUUAGUGGGACUUAAGGAGCAAGAUGUAAUCUUGGGGGUAAAACGGUAUUUUGACCCAGCCAAGGUUACGAGCAACCUGUGAAGGAUUAACUUACUGAUUAUGGUUUUAUCAAAUGGACACAAAUAUAUCUAUAGUGAGGGGAGUGCAACUACGGGACUUUAGUGGAAUGACCCGUUAGUUAACGAAUGUUGAUUAACUCGGUUUAAAAGAGUUUAGCUAGUUAAUCUUGAAUCGUUGGAGCCCAUGAUCUAUAGGUCCAUUAGGUUCCUCUGCUAGCUCAUAUGGAUUAAACUUAGAACAGUGUGAUGAAAUAAGUCGAAUUGUUCGAAUAGGGAGAAGAAAGGAAAACCGACAUAUACAGUGAUAUAAUCGUCGGUCUUCUAAUUAGAAAUAGAGCUUUAUGUUUUACAUACUAUAAGUAUGAAUGCGGAUUCAUACUAAGAAGCUCGGAAUUGGUCAAAAAUAGUAAAAAGUCAAAAUGUUGACUUUUGACUUUGAAAAGUCAAACUUUGACCGGCCUUAUAUUCAAAUGUGAUUUGAAUUUUGGAAAAAUGAAUGCGGAUUCAUGCUCGGGAGGUUGGAAUUAGUCAAGACGGACAAAAUGGUAAAAAGUCAAAAUAUUGACUUUUGACUUAGAAAAGUCAAAGUUUGACUUUUGACUAGAAAAAUCUAAUGACCAUUUUACCCUUGGACUAAGUUAGUGGGAAAAUCCAACAUUUUGUUGGAUAAUCCCACUAACUCUUAGUGGGAUAUGUGGCUAUAUGAGAUAUAGACACCUAGCCCACUAAGUUCCACUAAUUGUUAGUGGAAUAUUAGGUGUUGAGAUUUGGCAAUUGAAUUGCAUGCAUUUUUGCAUGUAAUUAGGCUAUAAAUAGAGAUGUUUUCAAAUGUUGAAGGACUUUUGCCUCUUUUAUCAUUUUCAUAAUCUCAACAAAAGAAAAAAGAAAGCUUCCAAUCUCAUUUUAUCUCCAUUACUUUCUACACCAAAAUUGGGUCCCACAACCCGGUUCUUUGUCUAGAGGAUAGCAGUUGAGUACUAGUGGUGGUCUCGGGUAGAAUUGGUAAGAAGACAUCAAACCUUUUGAAAGCUUCAAAGGUAAUACUUCUUAAAACCCUAAUUUGAUUAGUUUAUGGUUAGAUGUUAAUUGUGGCAAUUAGGGUAGAAAUUCGAUUCUUUUUCCGCUGUGCAUGACUUAGUUCUAUCA